CUCUCUCAGUUUGGCAUGGAGUAUUCAGAAGGACACCGAAUUCACAACGAGCAGCAAUGUGUCUGUCGGCGUAAUUAAAAAGUUGAGUAAAGAGGGGCACAACAAAGCUGCGAAUAUGGUACAUAAAAGAGACAAUGGGAGUGAACAUUGCAGCAAUGCUGCCAAUGAUCUGCAAAAUAGCUGUGCUGUCGCAGAUUUACACAACUACUGCCUCGAACCACCAUGAUCCAGAAACGGUCGGAUGCUUGACUAGUGGCACGAUAAAUAUUGUCUUUCAGAGGACACAGAUUGGAAACCUCUCUUCAAAGUUCCUGGAGACCAAAUCUGGAAGCGGUGGAACACUAUUCUCUCUGACAACACAGCAGCAGCUCCCACAGCAACAAAAAAAACGGAAUCCAUUUCCAGCAGCAUAGAGCCCAAUAAACGACACCAUGAGCAAACCAAACAACAAACAAAUGGCAACAUUCAACAUUAAUAAGUAGGUGGCAUGUGUUAGUCACUCUAGAAGUGGCGCUAAUGCUUGCUAGCUAGCCUGUGGUUAUGUUGCAUAGCAACUAGUCAAGCAACAAUACUUUUACCGGACUACUUUUUCUGGUGGAAUGUAUUUAUUAUCAAUGUAUUGAUUAAAGUUACAUGUUCAAUUUA
Long non-coding RNA from Oncorhynchus keta (chum salmon), 645 nucleotides. RefSeq lists it as uncharacterized. The record is from RefSeq and is a predicted model, not a curated record. The transcript is spliced from 2 exons. NCBI's taxonomy places the organism in Eukaryota, Metazoa, Chordata, Actinopteri, Salmoniformes, Salmonidae.